Molecule: non-coding RNA, 108 nt
Organism: Elasticomyces elasticus
Lineage: Eukaryota; Fungi; Ascomycota; Dothideomycetes; Mycosphaerellales; Teratosphaeriaceae
Source: the annotation of a GenBank genome assembly
GGGCGCGUGGUCUAGUGGUAGGAUACUGCGCGAUGGAUUGCUUCAUUCGCUUGUGUAGUCCAUCUCUCGCUUCGCACGGUGACAGUGGUUCGAAUCCAUUCGUGCCCA